This 354-nucleotide unclassified non-coding RNA is filed under the name soil metagenome. Its description in RNAcentral is "partial contains 5.8S ribosomal RNA, internal transcribed spacer 2, and large subunit ribosomal RNA". The stretch from base 1 to 120 matches the Rfam family "5.8S ribosomal RNA", at positions 35 to 154 of the family's 154-position model. The record is from RNAcentral.
GAUGAAGAACGCAGCGAAAUGCGAUAAGUAAUGUGAAUUGCAGAAUUCCGUGAAUCAUCGAACCUUUGAACGCACAUUGCGCCCCCUGGCAUUCCGGGGGGCAUGCCUGUCCGAGCGUCAUUUCUGCCCUCCAGCCCGGCUGGGUGUUGGGCGCUGUCCCCCCGGGGACACGCCCCAAAGGCAGUGGCGGCGCCGCGUCGGGUCCUCGAGCGUAUGGGGCUUUGUCACCCGCUCGGGACGGACUCGUCGGCGCUGGUCUUCCUCCAGGCGACCCUUCGGGGCUCGUCUUCCUUCGGUUGACCUCGGAUCAGGUAGGGUUACCCGCUGAACUUAAGCAUAUCAAUAAGCGGAGGA